This is an RNA transcript of Humulus lupulus (European hop), 2720 nucleotides long. RefSeq lists it as uncharacterized. NCBI's taxonomy places the organism in Eukaryota, Viridiplantae, Streptophyta, Magnoliopsida, Rosales, Cannabaceae. The record is from RefSeq and is a predicted model, not a curated record. The transcript is spliced from 8 exons.
AAAAAAAAAAAAGUUCUCUCAUCCGGUACACACGAUUUUACCGUCUCCACCUAAGCAAUACCCAAUAUAUAUAUUUAUAGAAAUUAUUUCAGACACUCCCUCUCGUUUCACGCGAAACCAAAUAAAAAACCACCCAAAAAAUUUCAUUUCCCACUCUAUCUUCUUCUUAUUCUUCCUCUCUGUCUCACACAGAAAGCCCAUACUCUCUCUCUCUCCCUUCACUUUCAAACCCAUACUCGGAAACCCCAAACCCCAAACACAGAAACCCCAAUGGAGAGACCCAUACUCGGAAACACCCAAACCCCAAAUGCAGAAAUCCCAACGGAGAGACCCAAACCCAAACAUCAGUUAUAUAAGGAGUUGUUCUCUCUCCCUACGCCUCUCCUAUCCUCUGCAAUAUCCCUCUCCCUCUCCCUACGCCGAGCCAGCCUCCUCUGCAAUCUUUCUCCCUACGCCUCUCCUCUCCUCUGCAAUCCAACUCAAACUAGGUAUAUCUGUUCUUUCGUGGUUCUCAAUUUGGGGUUAUAUAUUAUCAUGUUUGACUGAGAGAGUUGAAAAUCUAUGUUGGGUCAACUAGUUCUAGUUUUGGAGGUAUCAGAUUUCUGAGCAGAUGCGUGAACUUGGGAUAUGUUCACGAUUAGACCAAGUAUUUGAUGCUCCUUUUGCUGUCAGGGAGGUUUUGACUUCCCAAUGUCGAUUGGAUAAAUUAUAUAUUGGGUCAAGGAAACUGAUCUCAAGGCUGAUGAGGUCUCAAAGCUUGGAAUUUUUGAUUGCUGGACUCCAGAGAAUCACUACCGGUGGUCUAGAUCUAGAUAUGGGGGUCAUGUUUCUGCAACUGUAGAUACGGUUUAGAUGUUAAGGAAAUAGAGAGUCUCAAUGCCAAGAUAAUGGAGCUAGAAGAAGAUAUGACAUCCUUAGAAGGAAGUGUUCGAUCAUUUCAGUCUAAGUAAAGGCGCAUAGAUGAUGAAGCUGCUAGACAUGAAAAAGAACGGGAGGAGAUCAUAAACAUUGCACAACAUGAAUCAAGGAAGCGGCAUGAAAUGCAAAACUGUAUUGAUCAAAAGAAACAGAAAUUAAAAUCACUGGAGAAGGAAGACGACUUGGAUACUCGUAUGGCCGGACUAAUUUACCAGUUUGCAAAAUAUAAUGAGAAUCACUUCAAAUGUGUGAUGAAAUUUAAGAUUAGAGAAUUGGAGGUCAAUUUCAAGAUAAAUGAAAAUCUUCUCUUCAAGCAACAAUGCAUUAUGAAGAUUAUAAAUAUGGAGUUCGUGAUUGUCAAGAGAAACUUUCAGUUGCCAAGAGGCACGCAGAGUCGGUUGCUGUGCUUACUCUUGAACUUGGAAAGGAAUUUCUUGAGGUUUGUUGUAUUAGGACUCAAAUUUGAAGCAUGAAAAUGAUUAUCAGUAUUAGUUCCAUGUUAUGUAUAUAUCAACCUAGAAGUUUCUCAUGUGCGGUUUGAUUUACUGGGAUGGACUUGUAAGUCAUAAGUUUCUGGUUCUAGAAAAUAGACCACUAUAAAUAAUGAAUUCUAACAAAUCAAAAUUAGUAGAAUGAAGCUAUAGGUGUUCUAGGAAGUUAUAGGGCUCAAUAAAUUUCGGAGGUCACUAAUGGACAUGUGACAUUUGUCUCUUCUCAAAAAAAAUUUGUUUAAUAAUGGAUUUUUUUCAUAUAUAUUAUAUGAGCACCAACUUUGGGUUUCUUGGAGAGAUAUGUGUAGUCACAUCCUUUGUGCUGUGGAAUUCAUGCAUCACGAAACGUUAGUUAACCACUGGUUUGAAUUUCCAUGUCUGUGUCAAAUUGCUAUUGAGAUUGGUAUUGAUGAUAUAUUGUCUAACAUUAGUAAUUGUUCAUGUAUAUAACAAACUGUUACAAUAUAAAACUCUCUACAAAUCUGCCAAAUCAGUGGUUUUGUGGCUGUGUUUCUUGCUCUGUUUUGUUUUCCUGUUUGCUGCUAGGGGAUAGCUUAUCAUCAAGUGAUAGCAUAUAUUGGAAUUGGAUAUUGUUUCCAAAUUCAAAUUUUACUUAAUGUAUAUCACAAUCUUGGUUGUAUAUUUUAGACUCUCAAGUGGGCAAGUCUCUUCCCCUCCCCUCUUUUUUUUUUCAUUCCACAAAUUACAGUAUUGAUAUCCUGAAUGUUGGUCAUCUGUAUUUUAUAUAUUUUUUUUUAUUAUCUUCAGAUUGCAUACACAACUAAGAUUUGCCAUACUUGAACUCUAUUUUUGGCAGUUACUAACAUUUCACCCCCUAGAGACCCUAUAUGCAAAUAAUAAGUCAAAAUCAAGGUUUUUGUCGACAUUUCCAUCAUAUUUUUUCUCCUCUUCAAACAAAUUUCCUGUGAAAUCUUCUUUUAUAAUUUUCUUGGGAUUUAUCAUGAAUGAAGUUUAUUCUUCUAUUUCAUAAUUUUUACUAUGCAAAUAUUAUUGGUUCUCUCUUUCAUUUGUUAAUAUAUUAUGGUAAGAUAUACUAUUUAAUUAUAAUUUGAAGUCUUUAAUUCAUUAAUGCAGGGAAUAUCAUAGGAAUGACUUUUAAGGUGGAUGCCUAGAUUUAUUAGGAAGAAUAUUGAGAAAAGAAACAUGAUUGAGUUUGUAGUGAUUUGGAGAAGAGAAUUAUGUUGUCUUGUUGAGAUUUGUUGUAUUAAAUAUUUUGAAGUUUAUGGAUUUAUAAUAUUAUAAUGAAUUUUUAUUGAGAAUUAUUUAGUCUCAUGGGGAUUUGAUUUAUUA